AUUGCCAAACAUGUAGAGUAAAAAAGAAAAAAGAAACAGAACAAAAACCAAGAGAAAAUAGAGGGGAUGAGGAAGAUAAAAGAACUUGAUCUUAAUAGAUAUGAAGGAAAAAAAAAGCCACUAAACACUAGAGAGGAGAAAAAAAGAAAAAGAAAAGCUACAAUCCUAGAAACCAAAACCCUGUUAAAAUUGCCACCCACUUAAAAUAAUAGAACUCAAAAAGAAGAGGAGAUGUUGUCUAAUGAACUGAGACUUGACUGCAUCAUCAUCAUCUCAUCAUCCUCAUCAUCAUCAUUUUAACUCAGCUCUCACCACCAUUGAUUUUGUAAAAAAUCUAAAAAGCAUCAGUAGUAUUGUGGAUUCAUUCUGGAGACUAGCAAAAGCAAGAAGAGACAUAUUCCAUAAUUGUAGCCAAAAUAAGUAUGGAGAGAAACUAGCCAGUAGCUUGUUCCUUUUUUUUUUUUAUAUAUCCAAAGCAGCAAAACUUCUGACAAAACUCCUUGUACCAAGAAGCUUCCAUUAAACUGCAGGCAGAGGAGGAGAAGAAGAAAGACAGCUAAACCACCACCCGCACACUUAAUAUCCGUUUGCUA
This 593-nucleotide long non-coding RNA is filed under the name Cucumis sativus (cucumber). Its description in RNAcentral is "long non-coding RNA (CSAT_LNC000406)". Lineage: Eukaryota; Viridiplantae; Streptophyta; Magnoliopsida; Cucurbitales; Cucurbitaceae. The record is from RNAcentral.